UUGACAUCUCCCAUCUUCCAAUUUGAAAUUCUCAUACAGCCUACUAAAUCAUUCCACCUUACAGUUCAAUCAUACUAAAAUCACAUGGAAACAAAAGAAUAUGCAGACAAGUCGUGUAAAGAAAAUUAACAGUGUGUGCACAGAUUCAAAGGGAAGAGAAUAUAGGGACACCUGGUAGGGUGGCACCUGCAUCAACAAUGAAUAUAUUGCCAGACACAUAUUCUGAGGAGUCAUGGAUUAAGUAUCGGACCAGCGACGUUAGUGCCGGAUCUGAGGUGCCGUACGUUUGUAAAGGGACAGUUCUCAAAGCAACAUUAGUUAGCCAAUCCUUUUGCAUAAGACCCUCUGUGAUCUCAGAUUUGAACAGUCCAGGUGAUAUUGAGUUCACUCUGAUUUUAUGCAACCCCAAUUCCAGAGCCAUGACCUUGGUCAUGGUGUUUAAGCCCGCCUUUGAAGAACAAUAGGCAACAGCUCCAGGUAAUUGGCCACGGUGAAGACCAGUAAUAGAAGAAAUAUUAAUGAUAGAUCCUCCUCGUUUCGAGUCGCGCAUACGUAUGCAGACAGAUUUGGACACUAACCAGGAUCCAGUCAAAUUUGUCCUCACUACAUGAUUCCACUCCUGCUCAGACAAAUCCAGCGGACUCUUCACGCUACCUCUAACACCAGCAUUAUUUAACAGAGCAUCGAUUCCGCCAAAGGCUUCCCAAGCAAUCUGCACCGACCUAUCAAUUGCAGGCCCAUCAGCGCAUACGUCAAGUUCCACAGCAACAGCUCGUGGACCAGAAGUGGACUUAUUAUUAGCCGAUGAAGGAGAAGGAUGCUGGUUGAUUUCUUCACAGAGAGAUUUGAGACGAUCAACGCGACGAGCGGCAGCAACAAUCCUGCAGCCGGCUUUGGCAAGGUUAAGACAGAAGUCUCGGCCUAAACCAGAAGAGGCACCGGUGAUCAGGACCACCUUGUUCUGUAGGUCGCACCAUGGCUCGAGCUGGGCUGAGACCUGCUCCGCCAUUUGAUGUUGAGAGGAAAACAGUUGUAACAUCAAAAGCUUGAAACAGAGGGAAGAUAUAUUU
Molecule: unclassified non-coding RNA, 1070 nt
Filed under: Hevea brasiliensis (rubber tree)
Lineage: Eukaryota; Viridiplantae; Streptophyta; Magnoliopsida; Malpighiales; Euphorbiaceae
Source: RNAcentral